Molecule: long non-coding RNA, 161 nt
Organism: Etheostoma spectabile (orangethroat darter)
Lineage: Eukaryota; Metazoa; Chordata; Actinopteri; Perciformes; Percidae
Exons: 4
Source: RefSeq, a predicted model, not a curated record
UCACAAACACAGCAAUGUCACACAAGCAUUUGUGUUGUCUAAAACAGUUCUAUAUAUUUGGAGUCAUCCAGUGCAAAAAUAAACAUAUUGAACAUUAUAAUUCAUAUAAAAGGACAAACUAUUUGCAUUUCUUACAUACAAAAAAGGCCGAAAUGUAUGCA